GAUGAACGCUAGCGGCAGGCCUAACACAUGCAAGUCGAGGGGCAGCACAGGUAGCAAUACUGGGUGGCGACCGGCGGAUGGGUGCGUAACGCGUAUGCAACCUACCAUUGAUUGGGGCAUAGCCCGAAGAAAUUCGGAUUAAUACUCCAUAAUAUUCAUCAAAGGCAUCUUUUAUGAAUUAAAGCUUUUGCGAUCAAUGAUGGGCAUGCGUGACAUUAGUUAGUUGGUGAGGUAACGGCUCACCAAAACGAUGAUGUCUAGGGGUUCUGAGAGGAUUAUCCCCCAACUGGUACUGAGACACGGACCAGACUCCUACGGGAGGCAGCAGUGAGGAAUAUUGGUCAAUGGACGCAAGUCUGAACCAGCCAUGCCGCGUGCAGGAUGACGGCCCUAUGGGUUGUAAACUGCUUUUCCACGGGAAGAACCCUCCGACGUGUCGGAGACGUGACGGUACCGUGGGAAUAAGCAUCGGCUAACUCCGUCG
Molecule: ribosomal RNA, 484 nt
Filed under: uncultured bacterium
Lineage: Bacteria
Description: bacterial SSU rRNA
Rfam family: Bacterial small subunit ribosomal RNA
Source: RNAcentral